GACGAACGCUGGCGGCGUGCUUAACACAUGCAAGUCGAACGGAAAGGCCCUGCUUUUGUGGGGUGCUCGAGUGGCGAACGGGUGAGUAACACGUGAGUAACCUGCCCUUGACUUUGGGAUAACUUCAGGAAACUGGGGCUAAUACCGGAUAGGAGCUCCUGCUGCAUGGUGGGGGUUGGAAAGUUUCGGCGGUUGGGGAUGGACUCGCGGCUUAUCAGCUUGUUGGUGGGGUAGUGGCUUACCAAGGCUUUGACAGGUAGCCGGCCUGAGAGGGUGACCGGCCACAUUGGGACUGAGAUACGGCCCAGACUCCUACGGGAGGCAGCAGUGGGGAAUAUUGCACAAUGGGCGGAAGCCUGAUGCAGCAACGCCGCGUGCGGGAUGACGGCCUUCGGGUUGUAAACCGCUUUCGCCUGUGACGAAGCGCGAGUGACGGUAAUGGGUAAAGAAGCACCGGCUAACUACGUG
This 468-nucleotide ribosomal RNA is filed under the name uncultured bacterium. RNAcentral's name for it is "partial 16S ribosomal RNA". It matches the Rfam family "Bacterial small subunit ribosomal RNA", at positions 28 to 507 of the family's 1533-position model. The record is from RNAcentral.